AUGAGCCGAUUUCGUCACUUCAUCGCUGACCACGCCUUGCAUGACAUCUAUCUCCACGACAGGAGGUACACGUGGUCCAAUGAGCAGAGCAAUCCCACUCUCGUCAGGAACGACCGCGUGCUCUGCACCCCAUCCUGGGCGACUGCCAACCCCCACCACAUGCUGUGUUGCUUGGCCACGGCCGUGUCUUACCACUGCCCCCUCGUCGUGGAUUGUGCCCCGCGCAGCCCCGGCAAGCGAAGGUUCCACUUCGAGAGUUUCUGGCCAAAGCUUGAUGGAUUCCUUGCUACGGUGGAUGCCGCCUGGAACUCCCUCCUGCUGGAUCCCGACCCGUUUCGCCGCAUCUACGGCCGGAUGAAGAUCACGGCCCGCCGCCUCCAGAGUUGGGGGGCGCGCUCACGGGCAACAUCUCCCUGUAGCUCCAGAUCGCGCGUGAAAUCAUAUACCGCCUGGACGUCGCGCAAGACACCCGCCCCCUGUCCUCGCCUGAAAUCUGGCUUCGCCGCGAGCUCAAACGCGCCUAUCUGGGUCUGGCCUCCCUCGAGCGCUCCAUACUCCGCCAACGCGUGCGCCUUGGCUGGCUCCGCGAUGGCGACACUAACGUGGCCAUCUUCAAAAUCCACGCCGCCCACCGCGCGCAGAAGAACCAUGUGGCCUCCUUCCGCGUGGGAUCGCAAACCGUGA
Molecule: ribosomal RNA, 684 nt
Filed under: Triticum aestivum (bread wheat)
Lineage: Eukaryota; Viridiplantae; Streptophyta; Magnoliopsida; Poales; Poaceae
Description: partial small subunit ribosomal RNA
Source: RNAcentral